RNAcentral lists this ribosomal RNA (389 nucleotides) under Podarcis filfolensis (Filfola wall lizard). RNAcentral's name for it is "partial 12S ribosomal RNA". It matches the Rfam family "Bacterial small subunit ribosomal RNA", at positions 794 to 1384 of the family's 1533-position model. Lineage: Eukaryota; Metazoa; Chordata; Lepidosauria; Squamata; Lacertidae. The record is from RNAcentral.
GCUAAGCCCUGAACAUUGAUAGUUACUAAUACAAUACUUUCCGCCAGAGAACUACAAGUGAAAAACUUGAAACUCAAAGGACUUGACGGUGUCCCACAUCGGCCUAGAGGAGCCUGUCCUAUAACCGAUAAUCCCCGUUCCACCCAACCUCAACUAGCAAAAUAUCAGCCUAUAUACCGCCGUCGACAGUUUACCCUAUGAAGGCUCAAUAGUAGACACAAUAGCCUUAACGCUAAUACGUCAGGUCAAGGUGUAGCAUAUGUUGAGGAAAAGAUUGGCUACAUUUUUUAUGAUAAAAAACACGAAUUGCACUAUGAAACACUGCAUGAAGGUGAAUUUAGCAGUAAAACAGAUAAGAGUGUCUGUUUUAACAACGCUCUGGGACGCGU